ACGUGGUGUGCGGGGGCUCGUUUUCUUUUUUGAAGACGGGGCUGGUUUUCUUGGUUUUAUGUGUACGAGCCUGAAGAAACGUUACGUGGAGGUGGGGAGAAAAAAAACCAAGCAGUGGUGGGACGAUGGACGAAAAAAGACCGAUGAACGCCGGCUACUAACUCCCCUUUUAGGAGUAGACAAUACUCCGGAUGCCGGCGUGCCCACCUUCCUGGGUCGCUCAAGGGCAAAAAUAGCAUCCUGGUCGUCCGUUGUCGGGUGGCUCUCGAGGACGAUGUGAACCGUCCGAUCUGCCCAGACGUCUUGCAUCCGGACGACCCGGCUGUAGGGUCCAUGAUGGAUGGACCAUCCGAGCGCCCAUGAUGGAUCAGCCUUGGUCGAACCCGCCUGACAACAUGUUUGCCCCGCGUCGGGCCAAUGCCACCAUGGGCCGCGUCACUUUCCGUUGCUCUCUCGUUCCAUAAAAAUGUGCUACUGAUUUCUAUGCACAAUCAAUUCAAUUCAUGGAAAACAUAAGAGUUUCCCAAACCACUUGCAUCUCAAUUAAACGAAUUAUCUGGGGAAAAAAGCACAUAAGACUUCAAUUUGUGCUCUUACACAUACAAGUUUGAAGUCGAUCCACACAAAUUGCCGGCCUGCUAUCAGGGCGAUCCGGCCAUACUCAAUCGUCCUCAUCGGAGUCUGAGUCUGAGUCUGCUAGUUCUCCCUAAGGUCCCCUCCAAACAAGUAGAUGACAAAUGCGAUCACGGCAGCCGUGAAAGCAUAGACAAGAUAUGUGAAGAAAUAUGCGGGCUCCCGAUCUAAUACCUCAAUUGUCUUGCGGACGACAGGCACUAUGAUCGAAGUGCCAACGAACCAGACUCUGACGGUGAUUUGCCUGACCAUCGACCAGUUGAUGCUCCAGUAGAUGCUUUCCACGCCACCAGUCUUGAUCUUACCGGUGACCAUGUCCUUGACAGUUGUAUUCUAUUUACCUGCUCUAGACCGUAUUAAUUGAUUCUACACAUGUACCUUGAUGGUGUUGUUCCAUGGAAAAAUUGCACCGGUCAUCAAACAUUGCAACACAACGCAGAAUUAAACAAGACAACUUGAAAUUGAUACUGGCCAAAUCGUUUAACUAAAUCCAAAAAUACAUCUAGAUCAUACAAACAAUGGAGGCAAAGAAAAACCAUGCAAUUUCAGAUCAACUAAGAAUCACUUCGUUUUGGUACAAUCAAAGUAUAGACCCAAGGAAUAUUACAAAAUAAUUUAUACUAAAAUUUUGUAUUCAUGUAGAAUUUGUUUUCAUCACAUGGUAGUCUAGACAAAUAUAACUUACUAAGUUCAUGUACCUUACCAUGUAACCAUCUAACUAAAUUAUCAGUGUAGUUUAUUUUUAUAUAAUAAUUGCAUUUUAAAUCACAACGUACAUUUGUGUUGUGCUUAAUUUAAAUUGUAUUUUGUAUUAUUUUUUGAAAUGUUAUCAACAAAUGCAUAAACUAUGUAGUAUGUUUUUGUUGUUGCUUUCUUUCUCUAUGGUGCCAGGGGUGAGU
RNAcentral lists this long non-coding RNA (1532 nucleotides) under Hordeum vulgare. RNAcentral's name for it is "long non-coding RNA (HVUL_LNC017369)". Lineage: Eukaryota; Viridiplantae; Streptophyta; Magnoliopsida; Poales; Poaceae. The record is from RNAcentral.